CGGAGGAGGAGACUGGCCUUGGCGUAGCAAGAUUAUGGAGGGGGACACUGCUGAGAGCAAUGGCCAGGAGAAACAGCAGCCAUCACAGUCUACACCUUUUCUGGAUCAUAAAUAUCAGAAUUGUGUAGUUUGCUGGCACUUUUAAUCCUGCCUUUCAAUCACACCUCUCCAUAAUUUCCAACAUAAGCAUCCCCUGGGACUCAGUAGGUUCCCUACUGCAUCUUCUCCAAGAAAACUGAGUACUCCUAGUUACUAUUUGGUACAUAUGCACAAACUGCAGUCAGAGUUUUCAUUCUUGAGACGUGAAAUGUAAAACAUCUACUCUGAAAAAGAGGAAGGCUCGGGAAGGAAAUGAGGUCCAUGCAGUGGAGAGACAUAUGAAGACCUUCAUCAUGUCAUGUCGUGUCCCAGGGAAGUUGGUCUGUGAAAACUGCAUUAGAUCUGAGUCUUUAUAUCUUAAAGAUA
Molecule: long non-coding RNA, 465 nt
Organism: Ictalurus punctatus (channel catfish)
Lineage: Eukaryota; Metazoa; Chordata; Actinopteri; Siluriformes; Ictaluridae
Source: Ensembl